Sapajus apella (tufted capuchin) is the source of this 5063-nucleotide RNA transcript. It is a transcript of the gene named solute carrier family 2, facilitated glucose transporter member 3 pseudogene, with no coding region annotated. NCBI's taxonomy places the organism in Eukaryota, Metazoa, Chordata, Mammalia, Primates, Cebidae. The record is from RefSeq and is a predicted model, not a curated record. The transcript has a single exon.
GUUGCACUCUUUGUCGACCACUUUGGCAGGUGCAAUUCAAUGCUUAUCAAUUUGUUGGCUAUCACUGGUGGCUGCCUCACUGGAUUCUGCAAAAAAACUGAGUUGAUUGAAAUGCUGAUCAUGGGCUACUUGGUUACUAGCUUGUUCUAUGGACCCUGCACAGGUUUUGUGCCCAUGUACAUUGGAGAAAUCUUGCCUACUGCCCUUUGGAGUACUUUUAGUGCUCUCAACCAGCUGGGCAUCAUUGUUGGUAUUCUGGAGGCCCAGAUCUUUGGUCUGGAGUUCAUCUUGGGGUCUAAAGAGCUAAGCCCAGCGAUACUGGGCUUUACCAUCCUUUCAGCUGUCCUGUAAAGUGUAGCCCUUCCAUUUUGCCCUACAAGUCAUAAAUUUUUGCUCAUUAACAGAAAGGAAGAGUACUAAUGAGACCCUCCAGCAAUUGUAGGAGACUCAGGAUGUGUCCCAGGACAUCUGGGAGAUGAAAUAUAAAAACGCUAGGAUAGUACAAGAAAAGCAAGUCCCUGUGCUGGAGCUCUUUACCCAGCUACUGACAGCCCACUGUCAUUUCCAUUGUACUCCAGCUCUCAGUAGCUCUCUGGAAUCGAUGUUGUCUUCUCUAUUACUCAAUGAGAAUCUUCAAGGACGCAGGUGUUGAGAAGCCAAUCUAUAGAUUAGUGCAGGUCUGGUUAAUACUAUCUUCUUUACUGUAGUCUUUCUGGUUGAAAGGGCAGGAAGGACUUUACGUAUGAUAGGUCUUGGAGUGAUGGCUUUUUGUUCUGUCCUCAUGACUGUUUAUUAAAGGAUGAGUAUGGUGAAUGAGCUUUGUCUGUAGUGGGGUUACCUUGGUCUUUGUGGCCUUCUCUGAAGUUGGACCAGGCCCCAUUCCCUGGCAUACUGUGGCCACACUCUUCAGUUUGCAGUAGCAGUGGCAGGUCGCUCCAACUGAACCUCCAACUUUCUAGUUGGAUUGCUCUUCCUGAAAAAUUAUUAUCUAGUUUAAGUGUGUUGUUGCUUUAGGGACAUGUCAUGCUUAUACACAUCUGUUAACCAUUUGACCUUGGUACUGUGUCAGGUUCCCUUAGGGGAACUGAAUCUUUGCAGUAGAACACAUUUGAGAUAGUUAUGAGUUAACUGGGCACAGUAACAGCACAGUUCCCAGCAAUCCAAAAUACUAUACAUACUUCACUAAAGCAAAUCUAAUGAUUCCAUUGCCUUCAUUUCUAAAAUUUGAAUUGGACUUAAGAGCAGCCGGUUUUUAAGGAUUAAAAAGUAACUUUAAUGCAUUGUAGACCUAUACACAAAAAAAUCUUUGUAACUUUUGUGCUUAAUUUUCAUUCUUAAAAAAUGUAACUUUCAAAUGCAAGGAGCGCUCGGUUUGCUGUGAGGCUAGACAAAGAACACAUGAUACAGAAUUUCCCAUUACCACCACCCCGCCCCUAUGAGAAGAUUGCCUUUUAAUUAAGAGACUUUUAGAACUAGUGAUUUUAAGUUCUACUCUCAUCUUUUCCAAAGACUAAGUCUUUAUUAGUAAACUUGUCAUGUAAUUUGACAUGGCAGUUCCUUGCUCAGCUGCUCUAAAUAAGUUGGAAAUUAGGUGGUCUCUUAGUUUGGGUAAAGUCAGUGCUAUUGCCAGUAAUAUAUAUGAUAAUUGAAAGCCCUUAAAGUGGUUCAGAUUAUUUGCCCAAAUACUCCAUAAAAUUUUCUGAGAGUUUUGUUUUUUUUUUUUUACCUUCGGGUGUAUAUGUGAUUGCUAUAUUGUAAAUACCAGUUCCUGAAAGACUGUUUCUGUAAACAGAAUGAUGCAGCACAAAGUGAAAAGGUUUUCCUCUUAUUCCAGCGUAUUCUUGCCUUCAAAGAGUAGUCUGUUACAUCUUGUCUUGAUGUUUAAGGUUUAUUCUUGGGUGGAAAGCUUAACUGGGUAGUAAUUUCCAAAUGUUCUUUAUAACCACUCUAUAUAUCAUUAGCAAUUUUUUUUUCAUAUUUUAUUGUAUCUUUUUCUGUUAAGCACUUUAUGCUUUUUAGUCUUUUGCAUUUAGAAAGUAGUUUAGAACUUCUUUCACUGUUUAAAGCCAUGUGAAAACUGAUAGAGGAUAAUGAAAAGGAGUGUACAUUAUUUUGUAUUUAACUUACUGUUUUGUGGUAUGUGUAAACAAAACAUUAGAAAUAUAUUGUCUUUUUGUAAUAAUACUCUUUGACCUCAUUUAAAGUGAUCUGCCAUGAGGUAUCAAUGACCAAGUUUAUGUUUAUUCUAAUGUGUUUUAUUCUGAUACCUAAGGAAUUUAGCCAACUUUAUUUCUAUCAUCAGAUGAUCUCAGAAAACAAUGUUUUAUCUAUAUUACUGCCUCUUUUCAAUAUUUAAGAGAAUAAUUGUCUUCUGAUUUCUGCUGAGCCUAGUAAUACACUAAAGGCCUAAAAAAGUGAGUAACUCUUUCCUAUCAUUCGGGGUAUUUGGAUAGCCCAUUCAAGAUAAUGGUAGUAUGAAAAUGAAUCAUCCCAGCUUUUCUACCAUAUCUAAAUUUUGAAUAAUUAAUUUUUACCUGCAAGAAGUUCACAUGUUUUCUUAAAGUAGUCACUAUUUGCAUUAAUCCUGUAUAUUCAGUGAAUGUGAGGUCAUAUUUGGUAUUGCAUUAGAGGUAGUGUUGGUCACUGGUCUUGCCUCUGUGAACAUUAUUUUUAUUUGUAAAAUGAGGGAAUUGGUUUGUUAUGAUGGGAAAUGAGUCUGUUUUCUGGGUCCUGAGAAAGUUGCUUCAUUCAUGGCAGUAUUUGGGAUAACUGAAAUAUUUUUUUUUCCAGGUAUUUGGUGUCAUGCUUUGUAGUUAAUGUUUAAUGCUUAUAUAAUUUUAAGUUAUUACAUAAUUUUUAUUGGUGUAUAUUUAUAGGUACUAGGUUUUGGAUUCUCGCUAAACCAAUAGGAUGGUAUUCUCUCUUAAUAUGUUAUUGCCUGUAAUGGCCAAGUAGAUAUACCUUAAAGUAAUAUGAAAGGUUUUAUAUGUAUAUUAAAAUGUAUGUGUACUUUUAAAUCUGUAAAGGUUAUCUGGAAUUUUUACUGUGUUAACUUCAGAAUUAUAUGGGCAUUAUGACUUUUUCAUUGUACAACAAACAUAUUCAUAAAUGUUGGAAUAUAGUUGUUUCUUGACUUGUGAUAGGGUUAUGUUCCAUUAGACCCAUUGUAAAUUGAAAAUCCCAUAAGUUGAAAAUGCAUUUAAUACACCUAACCUAGUAAACGUCGUAGCUUAGCCUAGCCUAUCUUAAAUGUGUUCAGAACACUUAACAUUGACCUAUAGCUGGGCAAAAUCAUCUAAUACAAAACCUAUUUUAUAAUAAAGUGUUUAAUUAAUCUCACAUAACGUUAGCCCAGGAUAAUACCAAAAUACGAAAUUUUGAGGUACAGUUCCUACUGAAUGUGUAUUGCUUUUGCACCAUUGUAAAGUUGAAAAACUGUAAGUCAAAUCAUUGUUAAGUUAGGCUGUUUAUAUUACAUAUAUUUGGGAUUUUUUUAGUGGCCCUUUUUAAAAAGCUGUUUAUUAUUUCUGAUCAUUGUGAGUGGGGAUAAAUGUGGGAAGAACCACGUCUCUACUAAAAAUAUAAAAAGUAGUCAGGCUUGUUGGCGCACACCUGUAGUCCCAGCUAUUCGGGAGGCUGAGACAGGAGAAUCACUUCAACCCGGAGGCAGAGGGUAGAUCAUCCCACUGUUCUCCAGCCUGGGCAACAGAGCAAGACUCUGUCUCAAAAAUAAGUAAAUUAAUAAAUAAAUGUACACCGAGCUGAUACUGGGAUUUCAGGUACUGCAGUUAGCAUGAAUGAUGUGUUUGGGGUAAAUCAAUUUUAUUUUCUUAAGAAAAAUCUGAAAAUCUUAAUUUACGUUCUAGCUCCUGUAGUCAAAAUAUUUUUUCUUUUAGAAUUUCAGUGUUUUUGCUGCAACUGCCACUAAUUUUGCAUUUAAAAGAACAAAAGAGGAAUGUAUUUUUCAAAGGAGUGAAUGAGGUUAAAAUCUAGAUUUUGAAUGAUAUAAAUAUGCAACUGAUUCAAUUGUAGGAUAUUAUUAAAUUUUUUUAUUUCUAAAUAUCUUUCCUUCAUGCAUUGUAGUUCUUACAGUUCCAGUAGCUUUCUAAGAAAACAUUUCCAUGUUUACAUAUUUGUAAAGUAUGCAUAAAUAAUGUAGAAUAAUUUGGGAUUAUCUCAACUUUACAUUGUAUGUCUCAAUUUCAUCAAGGUCAUAGCUAGCUCGGUCAAUAGUUUUCACAGGUAUUAAGCCAUUUGGAAUUUGCCACUUUUUUCUGGGGAACCUGUUUUAGUUUAGUUUAGUUUACAGCAUUUAGAAAUAGAAGGUAACUUUAUAGAAGUAACACCGAUAUCCCAGUCUGCUUGUCCUGAAUAUAAUUAAUAAUAUUAGGAUGUAAGUGAUACUAAGGUGGUUUUUAUUAUUUUUUAUACACCGUGUGCUUUUACUUUUUAUUUAAACUACAGCUAAAAACCGACUUUUUAACUAAAAUUGAAUGACAUUUAUCUUAAUGCCCUGUUUUUGACCAAAUCAUACUCAGAAGAUGUUAUUAUGUCCCAAUCUAAAGAAUCCUUUGAGGAUUAAUUUUACUUACACAUGCCAUUUCAGUUUAAGUUGCCUUACUCUGUCUAUUACUUUAUUCUUGUCAAAUCUAAGCUUUAUCAUGUUUGAAUUCUUUCAACACUGAAUCUGUGAUGUAAAAAUGUAUGAUGUGAUACAAAUUUUAUUCAUAAUAAACUAAGUUAUAGCCUAUUGCAACCUGUAAAACAUUUCUUGUAAAUUACCUAAUUUAUUUUUUCAUUUAUGUACAGUUUCUUAUGUAAAUUUGAAAAAUAUUUGCCAUGGUGCAUUCUGUAAACAUUCCCAUAUUCUUUUCCUUAAUGCUUAUUUGCAUGAAAGUAACUUGGGUUUUGCUUGUUUCUGUUUGUUGGAUAGCCAUUAAACCAACUUCAGUAUCUCUGUAUUUUUCUGUAGCUUAAGUUUCUAAUUUUGCUUAUAUUCUAAAUAGAUGUUACGACCAUACUUUUUAUUUUCUACUUUCUAAAUAAAUUCUCUAAGUUGUUUA